UAGGGAAUCUUCGGCAAUGGACGAAAGUCUGACCGAGCAACGCCGCGUGAGUGAAGAAGGUUUUCGGAUCGUAAAACUCUGUUGGUAGAGAAGAACGUUGGUGAGAGUGGAAAGCUCAUCAAGUGACGGUAACUACCCAGAAAGGGACGGCUAACUACGUGCCAGCAGCCGCGGUAAUACGUAGGUCCCGAGCGUUGUCCGGAUUUAUUGGGCGUAAAGCGAGCGCAGGUGGUUUAUUAAGUCUGGUGUAAAAGGCAGUGGCUCAACCAUUGUAUGCAUUGGAAACUGGUAGACUUGAGUGCAGGAGAGGAGAGUGGAAUUCCAUGUGUAGCGGUGAAAUGCGUAGAUAUAUGGAGGAACACCGGUGGCGAAAGCGGCUCUCUGGCCUGUAACUGACACUGAGGCUCGAAAGCGUGGGGAGCAAACAGGAUUAGAUACCCUGGUAGUCCACGCCGUAAACGAUGAGUGCUAGAUGUAGGGAGCUAUAAGUUCUCUGUAUCGCAGCUAACGCAAUAAGCACUCCGCCUGGGGAGUACGACCGCAAGUUG
Molecule: ribosomal RNA, 548 nt
Filed under: soil bacterium LP-P1-2
Lineage: Bacteria
Description: bacterial SSU rRNA
Rfam family: Bacterial small subunit ribosomal RNA
Source: RNAcentral